AAGCAAUCAUUUUAUAAGACAUUUCCAUCCUUACAUUCCAUCUAUUCCCUUUUGAAUAGUUCUGAAAAAGUAAUCAAUAAAAGAGGAAGAAAAAAAAAAUUCUAAAAGCAUCCGACUGAGAAAUCACAAUGUUUACUUUAUUCAAUCUCGUGGACAGUUGACUCUGCAAGUAGUUUUUAGAAUUCAAUUAUAAUGCCCAAAGCUGUCAAACACCUCGAGUCAUUACAUACUUAACCCACCAAAAAUCAUAAGGGUAUUGCCACAACCAAUCAGAAC
Molecule: unclassified non-coding RNA, 276 nt
Filed under: Hevea brasiliensis (rubber tree)
Lineage: Eukaryota; Viridiplantae; Streptophyta; Magnoliopsida; Malpighiales; Euphorbiaceae
Source: RNAcentral